This 1324-nucleotide long non-coding RNA is filed under the name Homo sapiens (human). Its description in RNAcentral is "HSALNT0123886". The record is from RNAcentral. Lineage: Eukaryota; Metazoa; Chordata; Mammalia; Primates; Hominidae.
CAUGUAAUUUAUUGGAUACGCUACUGAAAUUGAAAAACAGGAGGGUUUUAUGGGUACUUGAAGUACAGUUUCUACUGAAUGCAUAUUGCUUUUGUUCUAUCAUAAAGUUGAAAAAAUCCCAAGUCAAACCAUUGUAAGUCACAGACCAUGUGUAUAUGUUUUUUGGGUCCAAUUUUUUUCACUCAGCAUAUUUUUUGACACUCAUUCAUGAUUCUACAUAUAUUUUGUUCUGAGUACUAUCCCACUAUAUGGAUAUACCAUCAUUUAUUUUCCACUCUUCUGGGUACAGACAUCUGGGCUGUGUACAGUUUUGUACUUUUAGGAAUAAAGCUGCUUUGAAUACUUGUGUUCAAGUCUUUGUGUAGAUGUAUAUUUUUAAUUUCUCUUGAGUAAAUGCCUAGGAAUAUAUAGAAUUAUGUACGGUAUGGGAGGUGUACAACUAACUCUUUAAGAAACUGUCAAACUGUCUGUCAGUGUGGUUGCUACUAGUUUACAGUUCCACCAACAAUAUAUGAGACUUUUCACUAAUCCAUAUCCUCUGCAACAUUUGGUGUUGUCAUUUUCUUUUUGUUUUUUUGAGAUGGAGGCUCGCUUUGUCGUCCAGGCUGGAGUGCAGUGGCACGAUCACGGCUCACUGCAACCCCUGCCUCCCCGGUUCCGGCGAUUCUCAUGCCCCAGCCUCCGAAGCAGCUGGGAUUAUAGGCGCUCCCCACCACACUCGGCUAAUUUUUUUUUUUUGUAUUUUUAGUAGAGACAGAGUUUCACCAUGUUGGCCAGGCUGGUCUCCAACCCCUGAUCUCAAGUGACCCACCUUCCUCAGCCUCCCAAAGUGCUGGAAUUUUAGGGGUGAGGCACCGCACCUGGCCUUAUACAAUCCUUUUAAUAACAUUCUAAGUUCAAUUUGGCAGUGUUUUCUCUUUUUGUAAAUUUAAUUUUUUAAAAUAUUUAUUUAUUUAUUUUAUAAGAUGAUGUCUUGCUCUGUCACCCAGGCUGCAGUGCAGAGAUGCAAUCAUGGCCCACUGCAGCCUCAACUUCCCAGAUCCUUUCACCUCAGCCUCCCAAGUAGCUGGAACCACAGGCAUGUAACACCACACCCAGCUAAUUUUUGUAUUUUAGGUAGAGAUGGGGUUUCACUAUGUUGCCCAGGCUGGUCUUGAACUCUUGAGCUCAAGUGAUCCACCUGCCUUGGCCUCCCAAAGUGCUGGGAUUACCAGCAUGAGCCACUGUGACCAGCCAGUUUGGCAGUGUUUACUUAAGAAUUUUUUAUCAGGCCGGGCGCGAUGGCUCACUUUACCCAUAUUUUUUAUUUAUUUGUGAUUUAGUC